GGUGUUGUGGCUCAGUGGCAGAGUGCUUGCCUUGCAUGUGUGAGGCACUGGGUUUGAUCCUCAGCAACACAU
Molecule: transfer RNA, 72 nt
Filed under: Ictidomys tridecemlineatus (thirteen-lined ground squirrel)
Lineage: Eukaryota; Metazoa; Chordata; Mammalia; Rodentia; Sciuridae
Description: Spermophilus tridecemlineatus (thirteen-lined ground squirrel) tRNA
Rfam family: tRNA
About the family: Transfer RNA (tRNA) molecules are approximately 80 nucleotides in length. Their secondary structure includes four short double-helical elements and three loops (D, anti-codon, and T loops).
Source: Rfam by way of RNAcentral